Long non-coding RNA from Prionailurus viverrinus (fishing cat), 420 nucleotides. RefSeq lists it as uncharacterized. The record is from RefSeq and is a predicted model, not a curated record. The transcript has 3 exons. NCBI's taxonomy places the organism in Eukaryota, Metazoa, Chordata, Mammalia, Carnivora, Felidae.
UUUUGUAUUUGCAAAAAUAGUCCAGGGACAGGCAUAUAGCAAGGUACCUAUUAUCUAUUAGUUGAAUUAAUUCCUAAAUUUCCUGGAAUAGCAUGGGCUCUCGCUCUUUGAUGCUCAGUUACCAGAUAUUUCUCAGCAGGGGAGGAUCCAGAAAGAAAUCAUUAGCGAUGAAGAAAGAGUACCCUUUGGGGAGGAUGCCCACGUUAACAGCCGUUGGGAUAGAAUCUCAUUAGAACUGGCCAAGUCACACAGAAGGUCCUGCAGCGGAGACCUGACUGCAAAAGAGGCCAGAAGCUGCGUGUGCACGAUGUGCACUGAGACCCGGCUGGAAAACUGGGAAGAAAGAAAUGUAGCUGCUAAGACGCGAGGCUAAGAGCAGAUCAUAAGGACCGAGGGGCUCGCCCUUACCACUGUCACAUG